This 609-nucleotide ribosomal RNA is filed under the name uncultured Tomentella. RNAcentral describes it as "eukaryotic LSU rRNA". The stretch from base 222 to 376 matches the Rfam family "5.8S ribosomal RNA". Lineage: Eukaryota; Fungi; Basidiomycota; Agaricomycetes; Thelephorales; Thelephoraceae. The record is from RNAcentral.
GGGGACUGCGGAAGGAUCAUUACCGAAUUGUCAAACGGGUUGUUGCUGGUCUUCAAACGGGGACAUGUGCACGCUCUGUUUACACAUCCACUCACACCUGUGCACCCUCCGUAGUUCUAUGGUCUGGGGGACCCUGUCUUCCUGCCGUGGUUCUACGUCUUUACACACACUCUGUAAUAAAGUCUUAUGGAAUGUAUGCCGCGUCUAACGCAAUACAAUACAACUUUCAGCAACGGAUCUCUUGGCUCUCGCAUCGAUGAAGAACGCAGCGAAAUGCGAUAAGUAAUGUGAAUUGCAGAAUUCAGUGAAUCAUCGAAUCUUUGAACGCACCUUGCGCCCCUUGGCUAUUCCGAGGGGCAUGCCUGUUUGAGUAUCAUGAACACCUCAACUCUCAUGGUUCGCCAUGAUGAGCUUGGACUCUGGGGGUUUUGCUGGCCUGYGGUCGGCUCCCCUCAAAUGAAUCAGCCUCCCAGUGUUUGGUGGCAUCACGGGUGUGAUAAAUAUCUACGCUCGCGGUYGUCUGCCAGGUAACCUUUGGUGACAAAGGUUYGCUGGAGCUCACAGAUGUCUCUCCUCGGCGAGGACAGCUUUUUUGAACGUUCGAUCUCA